AUGCACCAUAUAUAUUCUCUGUUGCCACUGCGAGAUGCUGCUCGUGCCGCCUGCGUCUCCCAUGGAUUUCUGCUUUUCUGGAGAUGCUAUUCCAACCUUACAUUCAACGUGUCAACACUUGGUUUGGCUCACAAGAAAUCCGAGGAUUGGGGAAUCUUUCUCAUCGAUAUAGGUGACCGCAUUCUUAAGAACCAUUCUGGCAAUGGGGUGGAGACACUCGAUCUCUGCCUCCUAUCUUGCGAAAACAUUGACCCUUCCUACCUGGACAGAUGGCUGCAGAUUGCUGUUCGUUCGGGGAUCAAAGAACUUAAAUUGGAGAUGUCUUACUUCAUGAAGAAAAAGUACAGCUUCCCAUGUUCGGUUUUUUCUGAUGAUGCAGCUGCAGGUUCAAUUCGGUCUCUUUGCCUCAGCGCUUGCGUUUUUCGUCCCACAACAACACUUGGCUGCUUGAGAAGACUGAACGCAUUAUCUCUGUUUUCUGUCCAGAUUACUGAUGAGGGAUUAGGGCACUUGCUCUCGAAAUCUUUCGCCUUGCAGCAGUUAUUUAUCUUUCGAUGCAAUGCGAUAAUAUGCUUGAAGAUACCUUCCAUGCUGCAGCAACUCAAGCUCCUCACUAUUAAAUUGUGUGAGAAGCUGCAGGUGGUAGAGAUCAAUGCUCCAAGGCUCUCCUCUUUUCACUUUCAUGGAGCCCUAGUAAAAAUCUCGGUUGUGGAUCCUUCACCGCUUAGGGAUGUGUAUUUUUCAUCUCCCCGUCCGUCACGCAUGCUGUCUUAUGCUCGUACUAGGCUUCCAUCCAUCACACGGAAUGUUAAGAGCCUGACCCUGGUGUCUUUUGAUGAGGUAUGCGUUGGGUUUUUACAGGAUGUCAACAUUCCAAUGCUGCACUCCAAGUUUCCCCGUCUCAAGAAGUUGGAAAUUAACAUCAAAAGACCACAAGCUGUUCUGUCUUUGGUUUCCUUUCUUGAUGCUUCUCCGGGCUUGGAUUCAUUCAUCCUACGCGUAGAUGGGAAUUUCUUGGGGCCUGAUUCUAUUGUUGGAGGUGAGAAUGCCGCUGAUGAUCCAAGGUGGAAGCCACAGUGCCGACAUGAUUGUCUCAGACAGGUGAGGAUCAUAGGCUUUUGUUUAGAAAAAAAAUCUGGUUCAGUUUGUGAUCUAUAUCGUUGA
Molecule: ribosomal RNA, 1164 nt
Filed under: Triticum aestivum (bread wheat)
Lineage: Eukaryota; Viridiplantae; Streptophyta; Magnoliopsida; Poales; Poaceae
Description: partial small subunit ribosomal RNA
Source: RNAcentral